RNAcentral lists this small nuclear RNA (106 nucleotides) under Equus asinus (donkey). The record is from RNAcentral. Lineage: Eukaryota; Metazoa; Chordata; Mammalia; Perissodactyla; Equidae.
AUGCCCCCUUUAGCAGCACAUAUACUAAAAUUGGAAUGAUACAGAGAGGAUUAGCAUGGCCUUGUUCAAGGGUGACAUGCAAAUUUGUGAAGGGUUCCAUAUUUUU